Molecule: unclassified non-coding RNA, 288 nt
Filed under: rhizosphere metagenome
Description: partial ribosomal RNA internal transcribed spacer region
Source: RNAcentral
GUAGGUGAACCUGCGGAAGGAUCAUUACCAAAAAAUCCAAUUACCAACCCCUUUUUGUGAACUUUCAGAAUGUAUUUGGGAGAUGUUUGGGUCUGGAGAGGUAUCCCCUCUUCCUUCACAAAGCUCCCAAUUUUUUUAUUAACCACUUGGCCUUUGUUGGUGGGACUAAAGGGGCAACUCUUUUAUUCUACUUAUUGGGGGUUCAAUACCAAUUUCUUUUUUUUUAUUACAUAAACAAAAAUUUAAAAGUUUAAAAAACAACUUUUAACGGUGGAUCUCUUGGCUCGU